AAGCAUAUCAAUAAGCGGAGGAAAAGAAACCAACAGGGAUUGCCCCAGUAACGGCGAGUGAAGCGGCAACAGCUCAAAUUUGAAAUCUGGCCCCUAGGGUCCGAGUUGUAAUUUGUAGAGGAUGCUUUUGGUGAGGUGCCGCCCGAGUUCCCUGGAACGGGACGCCGCAGAGGGUGAGAGCCCCGUCUGGCUGGCCACCGAGCCUCUGUAAAGCUCCUUCAACGAGUCGAGUAGUUUGGGAAUGCUGCUCAAAAUGGGAGGUAUAUGUCUUCUAAAGCUAAAUAUUGGCCAGAGACCGAUAGCGCACAAGUAGAGUGAUCGAAAGAUGAAAAGCACCUUGAAAAGAGGGUUAAACAGUACGUGAAAUUGUUGAAAGGGAAGCGCUUGUGACCAGACUUGGGCGCGGCGGAUCAUCCGGGGUUCUCCCCGGUGCACUUCGCCGCGUUCAGGCCAGCAUCAGUUCGGCGCGGGGGAAAAAGGCUUCGGGAACGUGGCUCCUCCGGGAGUGUUAUAGCCCGUUGCAUAAUACCCUGUGCUGGACUGAGGACCGCGCAUCUGCAAGGAUGCUGGCGUAAUGGUCACCAGCGACC
RNAcentral lists this ribosomal RNA (590 nucleotides) under Trichoderma sp. Its description in RNAcentral is "eukaryotic LSU rRNA". It matches the Rfam family "Eukaryotic large subunit ribosomal RNA", at positions 36 to 649 of the family's 3401-position model. Lineage: Eukaryota; Fungi; Ascomycota; Sordariomycetes; Hypocreales; Hypocreaceae. The record is from RNAcentral.